RNAcentral lists this ribosomal RNA (400 nucleotides) under phytoplankton environmental sample. RNAcentral's name for it is "partial small subunit ribosomal RNA". It matches the Rfam family "Eukaryotic small subunit ribosomal RNA", at positions 587 to 987 of the family's 1831-position model. The record is from RNAcentral.
AGCUCCAAUAGCGUAUAUUAAAGUUGUUGCAGUUAAAAAGCUCGUAGUUGAAUUUGUGGUGUACGGGGGGCACCCAGCACUUAUGGGUGUUGGUGUUGCUUGUCGUUGCCAUCUUUGGGCGGAAACUGUGUGGCAUUAGGUUGUCGUGCAGGGGAUGCCCAUCGUUUACUGUGAAAAAAUUAGAGUGUUCAAAGCAGGCUUAUGCCGAUGAAUAUAUUAGCAUGGAAUAAUAAAAUAGGACCUUGGUGCUAUUUUGUUGGUUUGCGCGCAAAGGUAAUGAUUGAGAGGAUUUGUUUGUGGGUAUUCGAAUUUCAUUGUCAGAGGUGAAAUUCUUGGAUUUUUGAAAGACGAACUAAUGCGAAAGCAUUUACCAAGGAUGUUUUCAUUAAUCAAGAACGAA